This 425-nucleotide ribosomal RNA is filed under the name uncultured bacterium. Its description in RNAcentral is "bacterial SSU rRNA". It matches the Rfam family "Bacterial small subunit ribosomal RNA", at positions 356 to 773 of the family's 1533-position model. The record is from RNAcentral.
AGGGAAUAUUGGACAAUGGGCGCAAGCCUGAUCCAGCCAUGCCGCGUGAGUGAAGAAGGCCCUCGGGUUGUAAAGCUCUUUUGUCCGGAAAGAAAAGCGCCGGGUUAAUACCCUGGUGUCCUGACGGUACCGGAAGAAUAAGCACCGGCUAACUUCGUGCCAGCAGCCGCGGUAAUACGAAGGGUGCAAGCGUUACUCGGAAUUACUGGGCGUAAAGCGUGCGUAGGUGGUUUGUUAAGUCUGAUGUGAAAGCCCUGGGCUCAACCUGGGAAUUGCAUUGGAUACUGGCAGGCUAGAGUGCGGUAGAGGGUAGUGGAAUUCCCGGUGUAGCAGUGAAAUGCGUAGAGAUCGGGAGGAACAUCUGUGGCGAAGGCGACUACCUGGACCAGCACUGACACUGAGGCACGAAAGCGUGGGGAGCAAAC